GAUUAUAAAUUUUUAAAAAAUGUAUUGUCUAUUACUGAUAGUUUCUCAAUGCAGUGCUCAUUGGCAACUUCUGAUUAUUUGUCCUAUGGACAAUAUAUCUGUAUGCAUUUGUUCGAUGCACAAACCUCCUCCUGCAGAUUUUAAACAAUUAUUAGAUAAGGCUAUGGAAGGAUACCAUAUGCUUAAAGGUUCAAAGUUGAAGAAAAAAAUGCUUUGGGUCUCUCUUAAAUCUCAUAAGCAAAAAGGAAACUAUGAGUGCGG
Non-coding RNA from Cajanus cajan (pigeon pea), 261 nucleotides. Lineage: Eukaryota; Viridiplantae; Streptophyta; Magnoliopsida; Fabales; Fabaceae. The record is from RefSeq and is a predicted model, not a curated record.